This 119-nucleotide ribosomal RNA is filed under the name Pteropus alecto (black flying fox). The record is from RNAcentral. Lineage: Eukaryota; Metazoa; Chordata; Mammalia; Chiroptera; Pteropodidae.
GUCUACGGCUAUGCCACUCUGAACAUGCCCAACCUCGUCUGAUCUUGGAAGCUAAGCAGGGUCGGGCCUGGUUAAUACUUGGAUGGGAGACCACCUAGGAAGACCAAGUGCUGUAGGUG